GAUGAACGCUGGCGGCGUGCCUAAUACAUGCCAGUCGAGCGAACAGACGAGGAGCUUGCUCCUCUGACGUUAGCGGCGGACGGGUGAGUAACACGUGGAUAACCUACCUAUAAGACUGGGAUAACUUCGGGAAACCGGAGCUAAUACCGGAUAAUAUAUUGAACCGCAUGGUUCAAUAGUGAAAGACGGUUUUGCUGUCACUUAUAGAUGGAUCCGCGCCGCAUUAGCUAGUUGGUAAGGUAACGGCUUACCAAGGCAACGAUGCGUAGCCGACCUGAGAGGGUGAUCGGCCACACUGGAACUGAGACACGGUCCAGACUCCUACGGGAGGCAGCAGUAGGGAAUCUUCCGCAAUGGGCGAAAGCCUGACGGAGCAACGCCGCGUGAGUGAUGAAGGUCUUCGGAUCGUAAAACUCUUUUAUUAGGGAAGAACAAAUGUGUAAGUAACUAUGCACGUCUUGACGGUACCUAAUCAGAAAGCCACGGCUAACUACGUG
This 497-nucleotide ribosomal RNA is filed under the name uncultured bacterium. RNAcentral describes it as "partial 16S ribosomal RNA". It matches the Rfam family "Bacterial small subunit ribosomal RNA", at positions 28 to 507 of the family's 1533-position model. The record is from RNAcentral.